RNAcentral lists this ribosomal RNA (372 nucleotides) under uncultured organism. RNAcentral's name for it is "partial 16S ribosomal RNA". It matches the Rfam family "Bacterial small subunit ribosomal RNA", at positions 527 to 896 of the family's 1533-position model. The record is from RNAcentral.
GUAGGUGGCAAGCGUUGUCCGGAAUUAUUGGGCGUAAAGCGCGCGCAGGCGGUUCUUUAAGUCUGAUGUGAAAGCCCACGGCUCAACCGUGGAGGGUCAUUGGAAACUGGAGAACUUGAGUACAGAAGAGGAAAGCGGAAUUCCACGUGUAGCGGUGAAAUGCGUAGAGAUGUGGAGGAACACCAGUGGCGAAGGCGGCUUUCUGGUCUGUAACUGACGCUGAGGCGCGAAAGCGUGGGGAGCAAACAGGGAUUAGAUACCCUGGUAGUCCACGCCGUAAACGAUGAGUGCUAAGUGUAGGGGGGUUUCCGCCCCCUUAGUGCUGCAGCUAACGCAUUAAGCACUCCGCCUGGGGAUACGGCCGCAAGGCUG